CACUCCUGCGGGAGGCAGCAGUGGGGAAUUUUGGACAAUGGGCGAAAGCCUGAUCCAGCAAUGCCGCGUGUGUGAAGAAGGCCUUCGGGUUGUAAAGCACUUUUGUCCGGAAAGAAAUCCUUGGCUCUAAUACAGUCGGGGGAUGACGGUACCGGAAGAAUAAGCACCGGCUAACUACGUGCCAGCAGCCGCGGUAAUACGUAGGGUGCGAGCGUUAAUCGGAAUUACUGGGCGUAAAGCGUGCGCAGGCGGUUUGCUAAGACCGAUGUGAAAUCCCCGGGCUCAACCUGGGAACUGCAUUGGUGACUGGCAGGCUAGAGUAUGGCAGAGGGGGGUAGAAUUCCACGUGUAGCAGUGAAAUGCGUAGAGAUGUGGAGGAAUACCGAUGGCGAAGGCAGCCCCCUGGGCCAAUACUGACGCUCAUGCACGAAAGCGUGGGGAGCAAACAGGAUUAGAAACCCUGGUAGUCCCAUGA
RNAcentral lists this ribosomal RNA (475 nucleotides) under uncultured organism. RNAcentral's name for it is "partial 16S ribosomal RNA". It matches the Rfam family "Bacterial small subunit ribosomal RNA", at positions 334 to 800 of the family's 1533-position model. The record is from RNAcentral.